GAUAAACGCUGGCGGCGCACAUAAGACAUGCAAGUCGAACGAACUUAGGCUCAUUCUUUACGAUUGAGUACGGUUAGUGGCGGACUGGUGAGUAACACGUAAGCAACCUGCCUGCAAGAGGGGAAUAACAGUGAGAAAUCACUGCUAAUACCGCAUAUGCUCACAUUAGCACAUGCUAGAGUGAGGAAAGGAGCAAUCCGCUUGUAGAUGGGCUUGCGUCUGAUUAGCUAGUUGGUGGGGUAAAAGCCUACCAAGGCGACGAUCAGUAGCCGGACUGAGAGGUUGAACGGCCACAUUGGGACUGAGAUACGGCCCAG
RNAcentral lists this ribosomal RNA (317 nucleotides) under uncultured bacterium. RNAcentral describes it as "bacterial SSU rRNA". It matches the Rfam family "Bacterial small subunit ribosomal RNA", at positions 28 to 334 of the family's 1533-position model. The record is from RNAcentral.